GGCUGAGGCAGGAGAAUCACUUGAACCCGAGAGGUGGAAGUUGCAAUCAGUCGAGAUCGUGCCACUGCACUCCAGCCUGGGGGACAGAGCAACACUCUGUCUUUAAAAAAAAAAAAAAAAAAGGCCGGGCGCGGUGGCUCCCGCCUGUAAUCCCAGCACUUUGGGAGGCCGAGGCGGGCAGAUCACAAGGUCAGGAGAUUGAGACCACAGUGAAACCCCGUCUCUACUAAAAAUACAAAAAAUUAGCCGGGCACGGUUGUGGGCGCCUGUAGUCCCAGCUACUCGGGAGGCUGAGGCAGGAGAAUGGCGUGAACCCGGGAGGCGGAGCUUGCAGUGAGCCGAGAUCGCGCCACUGCACUCCAGCCUGGGCUGGGCGACAGAGCGAGACUCCGUCUCAAAAAAAAAAUAAAAAAAAAAAUAAAAAGGGUACAAUGAGAUAAACUAAAAUAGUCCAACAUGUUAAUUGAAACAUACUACGAAAAGUGUUAAAUAGCCUGAAAGAAUUGUGAUAAAGGGGAAACUGAAUACUGGGAACAAAAGAGAAGAAGCAGGUAAUGAAGUGGUGGCCAGGCGCAGUGGCUCAGGCCUGUAAUCCCAGCACUGUGGGAGGCCCAGCACUGUGGGAGGCCAAUCACUUGAGGUCAGGAGUCUGAGACCAGCCUGGCCAACACACUGAAACCCCAUCUCUAUAAAAAUACAAAAUUAGCCGGGGGUGAUGGUGGGAGCCUGUAAUUCGAGCUACGUGGGAGGCUGAGGUAGGAGAAUCACUUGAACCGGGGAGAUGGAGGUGGCAGUGAGCUGAGAUCGCACCACUACACUCCAGUCUGGGUGAUAGCAAGACUCUCUCUAAACAAAAAAAAUAACUGGUAGAGUCGAAUCCUAUGUAAUCAAACACGUUAAAUGCACGUGAUCAGCCGGGCGUGGUGGCUCACGCCUGUAAUCCCAGCACUUUGGAAGGCUGAGGCAGGUGGAUCUCUUGAGGUCAGGAGUUCCAGACCAGCCUGGUCAACACGGUGAAACCCUGUCUCUACUAAAAAUACAAAAAUUAGCCGGGUUUGGUGGCGCACACCUGUAGUCCCAGCUACUCAGGAACCUGAGGCAGGAGAAUCACUUGAACCCAGGAGGCAGAGGUUGCAGUGAGCCGAGAUCACAUCACUGUACUCCAGCCUUCGUCUCAAAAAAAAAAAAAAAAAAAAAAAAAA
Molecule: long non-coding RNA, 1202 nt
Filed under: Macaca fascicularis (crab-eating macaque)
Lineage: Eukaryota; Metazoa; Chordata; Mammalia; Primates; Cercopithecidae
Description: lncRNA (ENSMFAG00000060805.1)
Source: RNAcentral